RNAcentral lists this transfer RNA (85 nucleotides) under Felis catus (domestic cat). It matches the Rfam family "tRNA". Rfam says of the family: Transfer RNA (tRNA) molecules are approximately 80 nucleotides in length. Their secondary structure includes four short double-helical elements and three loops (D, anti-codon, and T loops). The record is from Rfam by way of RNAcentral. Lineage: Eukaryota; Metazoa; Chordata; Mammalia; Carnivora; Felidae.
GCCUGGGUGGCUCAAUCGGUUAAGCAUCUGACUUCAGCUCAGGCCAUGAUCUCACAGCUCGUGAGUUCGAGCCCCACGUCGGGCU